AACGCUAGCUACAGGCUUAACACAUGCAAGUCGAGGGGAAACGACAUCGAAAGCUUGCUUUUGAUGGGCGUCGACCGGCGCACGGGUGAGUAACGCGUAUCCAACCUGCCCACCACUUGGGGAUAACCUUGCGAAAGUAAGACUAAUACCCAAUGAUAUCUCCAGAAGACAUCUGAAAGAGAUUAAAGAUUUAUCGGUGAUGGAUGGGGAUGCGUCUGAUUAGCUUGUUGGCGGGGUAACGGCCCACCAAGGCGACGAUCAGUAGGGGUUCUGAGAGGAAGGUCCCCCACAUUGGAACUGAGACACGGUCCAAACUCCUACGGGAGGCAGCAGUGAGGAAUAUUGGUCAAUGGGCGAGAGCCUGAACCAGCCAAGUAGCGUGCAGGAUGACGGCCCUAUGGGUUGUAAACUGCUUUUAUAAGGGAAUAAAGUGAGUCUCGUGAGACUUUUUGCAUGUACCUUAUGAAUAAGGACCGGCUAAUUCCGUGCCAGCAGCCGCGGUAAUACGGAAGGUCCGGGCGUUAUCCGGAUUUAUUGGGUUUAAAGGGAGCGUAGGCCGGAGAUUAAGCGUGUUGUGAAAUGUAGACGCUCAACGUCUGCACUGCAGCGCGAACUGGUUUCCUUGAGUACGCACAAAGUGGGCGGAAUUCGUGGUGUAGCGGUGAAAUGCUUAGAUAUCACGAAGAACUCCGAUUG
RNAcentral lists this ribosomal RNA (696 nucleotides) under uncultured bacterium. RNAcentral's name for it is "bacterial SSU rRNA". It matches the Rfam family "Bacterial small subunit ribosomal RNA", at positions 32 to 715 of the family's 1533-position model. The record is from RNAcentral.